CAGCAGCCACGGUAAUACAGAGGGUGCGAGCGUUAAUCGGAUUUACUGGGCGUAAAGCGUGCGUAGGCGGCUAAUUGAGUCGGAUGUGAAAUCCCCGAGCUUAACUUGGGAAUUGCAUUCGAUACUGGUUAGCUAGAGUGUGGGAGAGGAUGGUAGAAUUCCAGGUGUAGCGGUGAAAUGCGUAGAGAUCUGGAGGAAUACCGAUGGCGAAGGCAGCCAUCUGGCCUAACACUGACGCUGAGGUACGAAAGCAUGGGGAGCAAACAGGAUUAGAUACCCGCGUAGUCCCUGUCUCUUAUAA
This 301-nucleotide ribosomal RNA is filed under the name uncultured bacterium. RNAcentral describes it as "partial 16S ribosomal RNA". It matches the Rfam family "Bacterial small subunit ribosomal RNA", at positions 509 to 809 of the family's 1533-position model. The record is from RNAcentral.